GGUGGGGUGUUAAAAAUUCCCGGUGGCUAGCUCAUAACCCAGAGGUCGCAGGUUCGAAUCCUGUCCCCGCUACAA
RNAcentral lists this transfer RNA (75 nucleotides) under Mycobacterium minnesotense. RNAcentral's name for it is "Mycolicibacter minnesotensis tRNA-Ser". The record is from RNAcentral. Lineage: Bacteria; Bacillati; Actinomycetota; Actinomycetes; Mycobacteriales; Mycobacteriaceae.